RNAcentral lists this ribosomal RNA (912 nucleotides) under uncultured bacterium. Its description in RNAcentral is "bacterial SSU rRNA". It matches the Rfam family "Bacterial small subunit ribosomal RNA", at positions 12 to 933 of the family's 1533-position model. The record is from RNAcentral.
UUUGAUCAUGGCUCAGGAUGAACGCUAGCGGCAGGCCUAAUACAUGCAAGUCGAACGGUGUCUUCGGACAUAGUGGCGCACGGGUGCGUAACACGUAUGCAACCUACCUUACAUUGGGGGAUAGCCUUUCGAAAGGGAGAUUAAUACCGCAUAAGACAGUAACUAGGCAUCUAGUAGCUGUUAAAGAUUUAUCGAUGUAAGCUGGGCAUGCGACCAAUUAGCUUGUUGGUGAGGUAAUGGCUCACCAAGGCUAUGAUUGGUAGGGGAACUGAGAGGUCAAUCCCCCACACUGGCACUGAGAUACGGGCCAGACUCCUACGGGAGGCAGCAGUAGGGAAUAUUGGGCAAUGGACGCAAGUCUGACCCAGCCAUGCCGCGUGCAGGAUGAAGGCGUUAUGCGUUGUAAACUGCUUUUAUACAGGAAGAAACGACUCUUGCGAGAGGCAUUGACGGUACUGUAUGAAUAAGCACCGGCUAACUCCGUGCCAGCAGCCGCGGUAAUACGGAGGGUGCAAGCGUUGUCCGGAUUUAUUGGGUUUAAAGGGUGCGCAGGUGGUUUAUUAAGUCCAGUGGUGAAAGACGGUCGCUCAACGAUUGCAGUGCCAUUGAAACUGGUAGACUUGAGUAAAGUAGAGGUGGGCGGAAUUGAUAGUGUAGCGGUGAAAUGCAUAGAUAUUUAUCAAGAACUCCAAUUGCGUAGGCAGCUCACUUGGCUUUUUACUGACACUCAUGCACGAAAGUGUGGGUAUCAAACAGGAUUAGAUACCCUGGUAGUCCACACUGUAAACGAUGAUAACUAGGUGUCGGCCGAAUCUGGUCGGUGCCACAGCGAAAGCGUUAAGUUAUCCCACCCUGGGGAGUACGCCCGGCACGGUGAAACUCAAGGAAUUGACGGGGGUCCGCACAAGCGGU